Molecule: unclassified non-coding RNA, 211 nt
Filed under: soil metagenome
Description: partial internal transcribed spacer 1
Source: RNAcentral
CACAAUAAACAUAUGAAGGCUGCACCGCCAACAGGCGGCAAGGCUGGAGUCCACUUUUUAUUACCCUUAGUUCUUUACUGCGAGCAUUACCUAGUUAGCUUGCCUUCUUACCUGUUGAGUACCGGCGUUUCCGCCCGCCCUCCAUUGGACCACAUGAUAAACCUUUUAUGCAGUUGCAAUCAGCGUCAGUACAAAAACUGUAAAUCAUUUA